GACAGAGGUGCCAAGCGUUAGGCGGAAUCACUGGGCUUAAAGCGUGCGUAGGUGGAUUUGUAAGUACCUUGUGAAAUCCCAUGGCUCAACCAUGGAACUGCUCGGUAUACUGCGAAUCUUGAGCCACUUAGGGGCUACCGGAACAAAUGGUGGAGCGGUGAAAUGCGUAGAGAUCGGAAAGAACACCAACGGCGAAAGCACUCUGCUGGGCCGACACUGACACUGAGAGACGAAAGCUAGGGGAGCGAAUGGG
RNAcentral lists this ribosomal RNA (253 nucleotides) under uncultured bacterium. RNAcentral describes it as "partial 16S ribosomal RNA". It matches the Rfam family "Bacterial small subunit ribosomal RNA", at positions 524 to 776 of the family's 1533-position model. The record is from RNAcentral.